Molecule: microRNA precursor, 56 nt
Filed under: Heligmosomoides polygyrus
Lineage: Eukaryota; Metazoa; Nematoda; Chromadorea; Rhabditida; Heligmosomidae
Description: microRNA hpo-mir-5906 precursor
Source: miRBase by way of RNAcentral
UGGCAAUGAGCUAGCUAAUUGUUCCAAAGGCCAACAUUAGCUGGUCUAUUGCCAGC